ACACCUCAACUCUCAUGGCUCGCCAUGAUGAGCUUGGACUUUGGGGGUCUUGCUGGCCUGCGGUCGGCUCCUCUCAAAUGGAUCAGCUUGCCAGUGUUUGGUGGCAUCACAGGUGUGAUAACUAUCUGCGCUUGUGGUUUUCCAUCAGAUAACCUUCAGUGAUGGAGGUUCGCUGGAGCUCAUAAACGUCUUCCCUAAGCGGGGACAGCCCUUUGAAU
Molecule: unclassified non-coding RNA, 218 nt
Filed under: uncultured Tomentella
Lineage: Eukaryota; Fungi; Basidiomycota; Agaricomycetes; Thelephorales; Thelephoraceae
Description: sequence contains ITS2
Source: RNAcentral